Schistocerca serialis cubense is the source of this 309-nucleotide long non-coding RNA. RefSeq lists it as uncharacterized. The transcript is spliced from 2 exons. Lineage: Eukaryota; Metazoa; Arthropoda; Insecta; Orthoptera; Acrididae. The record is from RefSeq and is a predicted model, not a curated record.
UGUAUAAUGGCGGGUUUUGUGAUUUGUGUGCGUUAAAGCUCUUCAAUCACGGGAAAAAAUUGAUAAUACUUGCUGCAAAAGCAGAUGUUUGCAGAGGAGAAAGGAUAGUUUAUAUUCCAGAUAAUGGACGUUUCUGAAGUGAAAAUCCAAAGAAGAGAAGACAGCGAGAAGUAGCUUUUUGUCUGUUUCAUGGUUUAUAGGCCUACUGGGGAAACUCGCCAUGUAAAAAAACGAGUAACGCAUCAAGCUUGGUACCUCUAUGGUGAUGUGGAAAUCCGAGCGUUGUUAAUAAAGAAAUUAAUUCAGUGA